GCCAACUGGAACGUAAUACAAAGCGCUUGGCAGAUGUCGUCUCAGAUGCUUCAAAUUUUCGGUAAUUCAUUGUGAUAAACUUUGUAAGCUUUGCUUCAGUACAACUAAUUUUAAAAUCUUAUAUAGUGCUAUAGAUUUCAUGGUAAGGUUUCUUUGCUUUUCAUGAUUGAAGGUCGACAAGACUCAAAGCAUGAUAUCUGAGUUUCUUAGAAAAUGUCUUUGCUUAUGUGAACGCUAAUGAUGUGCUUGAAGAGAUUUUGAGAUCAAAUUGCUGGUUUUAACUAAUGGAUGCUAAUUUUAUGAAAGUUACUUUCAAAUGAAAAGAGGGAAGCUUUAGCAGGAAUCUUUCUACUCCCUCAUGGAGAGUUUGUAUCUGGCUGGUGAUCGUCUAACGUUCUAGUUUGUGAAGAGGAUGCACCAUUAGAGUAUGUAUUAUCUACAUCAUCUCAAUAAUUCUUAUUUCACCAAAUUAGUCAGUUACAACUAUUGCAUGGUGUCAAUGUAUAUGGACACAUAAAUUUGAAUUCACCCCUUGCAGUUUACCUCGUUCAUCUUAUGCUCAUCAGAAAACGUCUUUUUUGAUUAAAAUGAUUGCAAACCUUCAUUGCUUUGUUCCUGAUGUAUACCAGGGGUAAAUGAUUUAGUAAUUUUCGGUUUCAAUCGGGGUAUGCUGCUUGAUAGUAAUAUUUAACAACUAAUAACAUUUGUUUCAAUCUCAGAUGAGAAAGAUCUGUUUCUCAACAUGCUCAUUCGGUUCAUAGAAAAGGACUAUCAGAAACUGUCAGCAUUUUGGUAUGCGAGAAGGUACUAGGUUUCCCAGCAGGUGGGAAAUCCGAACUUUUAUUAUAGUCGUCAAAUCCUGGGUCUUGUGGAUGUGCUUAUUUGUCUUGCUUGCUUGAUGGCGAGCAAGACUUCUGUUUGGGGUAUUUUACGUGUGUGGGCAAUUUAACUGGUUAUUAUACAAUGGAUGGAAUGGAGGGUAGCGUACUACUGCUCUGGUUCAAUUUUGACCACUUCACUAUUUAUUCCAGCGAGUUGAAGGGUAUAAAGCUGCAAUCAAUAUUUGCUUCAAUAUUCAAACAUUUUUUUAAUAAACUAACUUUAGUUCGAUAUUUAGUGUGUCAUUUCAUACUUAAGCCAUCAAUGAAGAACUACUACAAAAUCAUUCUGAUGCUCUACACUUGUCGGUACCUGAUAAAAUUGGGGUUGGAUCUUUGUCUAGUUCUGAGGAACACUAUAUCUUCACGAUACCAGGAUGACGCGUGGAAAGACUUUAUGUUUGAGGCAGACUACAGAGCAAUCAUGCUGCGUUUGAGGCUACUGAGAUAAUUCAGCAUAUUCUAGUGUUACUCGUAGUCUAUUUGAAGGCCUCUCUAAGCAUUUAGAUUCAUUCUUGCAAAUGUUAUCUCUUGUGCUGCUAAGUUGUUUUCUGUGAUUGUUCCUAGUGCAUAAAUAGACUAGAUAGUACUUAGUCAAUCUGAAGGUCGAGGGUAGUAGGGGCCGACUGAGUUCUUAACUUAAAAG
Salvia splendens (bonfire salvia) is the source of this 1524-nucleotide long non-coding RNA. RefSeq lists it as uncharacterized. Lineage: Eukaryota; Viridiplantae; Streptophyta; Magnoliopsida; Lamiales; Lamiaceae. The transcript is spliced from 3 exons. The record is from RefSeq and is a predicted model, not a curated record.